CCUACGGGAGGCAGCAGUGGGGAAUAUUGCACAAUGGGGGAAACCCUGAUGCAGCGACGCCGCGUGAGUGAAGAAGUAUUUCGUUAUGUAAAGCUCUUUUAGCAGGGAAGAAAAUGAUGGUACUUGAGGAAGAAGCCCCGGCUAAUUACGUGAAAGCAGCAGCGGUAAUACGUAGGGGGCAAGCGUUAUCCGGAUUUACUGGGUGUAAAGGGGGCGUAGACGGCAGUGCAAGUCUGGAGUGAAAGGCGGGGGCUCAACCCCCGGACUGCUCUGGAAACUGUACGGCUGGAGUACAGGAGAGGUAAGUGGAAUGCCUAGUGUAGCGGUGAAAUGCGUAGAUAUUAGGAGGAACACCAGUGGCGAAGGCGGCUUGCUGGACAGUAACUGACGUUGAGGCACGAAAGCGUGGGGAGCAAACAGGAUUAGAUACCCCUGUAGUC
Molecule: ribosomal RNA, 440 nt
Filed under: uncultured bacterium
Lineage: Bacteria
Description: partial 16S ribosomal RNA
Rfam family: Bacterial small subunit ribosomal RNA
Source: RNAcentral